RNAcentral lists this ribosomal RNA (434 nucleotides) under uncultured bacterium. RNAcentral describes it as "bacterial SSU rRNA". It matches the Rfam family "Bacterial small subunit ribosomal RNA", at positions 29 to 507 of the family's 1533-position model. The record is from RNAcentral.
AACGAACGCUGGCGGCAUGCCUAACACAUGCAAGUCGAACGAAGGCUUCGGCCUUAGUGGCGCACGGGUGCGUAACGCGUGGGAAUCUGCCCUUGGGUUCGGAAUAACUCAGAGAAAUUUGAGCUAAUACCGGAUGAUGACGUAAGUCCAAAGAUUUAUCGCCCAAGGAUGAGCCCGCGUAGGAUUAGCUUGUUGGUGAGGUAAAGGCUCACCAAGGCGACGAUCCUUAGCUGGUCUGAGAGGAUGAUCAGCCACACUGGGACUGAGACACGGCCCAGACUCCUACGGGAGGCAGCAGUGGGGAAUAUUGGACAAUGGGCGAAAGCCUGAUCCAGCAAUGCCGCGUGAGUGAUGAAGGCCUUAGGGUUGGUAAAGCUCUUUUACCCGGGAUGAUAAUGACAGUACCGGGAGAAUAAGCUCCGGCUAACUCCGUG